Molecule: ribosomal RNA, 478 nt
Filed under: uncultured bacterium
Lineage: Bacteria
Description: partial 16S ribosomal RNA
Rfam family: Bacterial small subunit ribosomal RNA
Source: RNAcentral
GACGAACGCUGGCGGCGUGCUUAACACAUGCAAGUCGAACGGUAAGGCCCUUCGGGGUACACGAGUGGCGAACGGGUGAGUAACACGUGGGUGAUCUGCCCUGCACUUCGGGAUAAGCCUGGGAAACUGGGUCUAAUACCGGAUAGGACCACUGCCUGCAUGGGGGGUGGUGGAAAGCUUUUGCGGUGUGGGAUGGGCCCGCGGUCUAUCAGCUUGUUGGUGGGGUAGUGGCCUACCAAGGCGACGACGGGUAGCCGGCCUGAGAGGGAGACCGGCCAGGCUCGGACUGAGGUACGGCCCAGAGCCCGACGGGAGGAAGCAGGGGGGAAUAUGGCACAAUGGGGGCGAGCGUGAUGCAGGGACGCCGCGUGAGGGAUGACGGCCUUCGGGUUGUAAACCUCUUUCAGUAGGGACGAAGCGCAAGUGACGGUACCUACAGAAGAAGGACCGGCCAACUACGUGCCAGCCGCCGCCGUAA